CAACACACACGCGCUCAGACACAAACACAUACGCACGCACACAGCACGCUUAGCAGGACUACCUCCUGACACACACAACACACACACUGUGAGGUUGGCAGGACCAGAGAGCGAGGAGGAGACGGUUAAUCAUUCGGCAGACGUAGGAAUUUCAACAUCGAACACUGGCAGAAAAGAUUCCAGAAGGAGACACAAGAGCUGAUGGAAUUAUCUUUAGACCUCUAUUUGUAUCUAUUGAUAAUUAUUUGAUAAUCCUAUACGAGAAAUCCUAUACAGAUUUAUAAAGGUUAUUCAUGUGAAAUAAUAGGGAGUCGACGUAGGACGUCCUCUCGAUUUCCACCGGCUGCCCCUGACGAUCAUACAGCGCCAGGACGAAGUGGAAGAAGUUGGAUUUGCGCAGGUUAGAGGGAGGCUGCUUCUCAUAGUGAGCUCGGGCCAAACCUACAC
Molecule: long non-coding RNA, 447 nt
Organism: Tachysurus fulvidraco (yellow catfish)
Lineage: Eukaryota; Metazoa; Chordata; Actinopteri; Siluriformes; Bagridae
Exons: 3
Source: RefSeq, a predicted model, not a curated record